This 510-nucleotide ribosomal RNA is filed under the name uncultured bacterium. Its description in RNAcentral is "bacterial SSU rRNA". It matches the Rfam family "Bacterial small subunit ribosomal RNA", at positions 28 to 534 of the family's 1533-position model. The record is from RNAcentral.
GACGAACGCUGGCGGCGUGGAUUAGGCAUGCAAGUCGAACGGUAGGGUUCCUUCGGGGACCUGAGAGUGGCGAACGGGUGAGUAACACGUAGGUAAUCUACCCUCAAAUCGGGGACAACCCAGGGAAACUUGGGCUAAUACCGGAUGAGUGCGCUUUCGGGUGCAUAAAAGGUGGCGUAAGCUGCUGUUUGGGGAUGAGCCUGCGCUCUAUUAGUUAGUUGGUGAGGUAACGGCUUACCAAGGCGAUGAUAGAUAGGCGGCCUUAACGGGUGGUCGCCCACACUGGGAUUGAGAUACGGCCCAGACUCCUACGGGAGGCAGCAGUCGAGAAUAGUCUACAAUGGACGAAAGUCUGAUAGUGCGACGCCGCGUGAACGAAGAAGCCCUUCGGGUGUAAAGUUCUUUAUAUGUGAGCAAUGCUUCCUAGGUGAAUAGUUUAGGGAGAGAGAUAUUAGCACAUGAAUAAGCAACGGCUAACUCCGUGCCAGCAGCCGCGGUAAACGUAGCGUG